Potamilus streckersoni is the source of this 72-nucleotide non-coding RNA. The record is from the annotation of a GenBank genome assembly. Lineage: Eukaryota; Metazoa; Mollusca; Bivalvia; Unionida; Unionidae.
GCUCUGGGGGCCUAGUGGUUAGUGCGUCCGCCUCGGAUACGGAAGGGCGCGGGUUCGAACCCUGGCCGAGUA